This 833-nucleotide ribosomal RNA is filed under the name archaeon enrichment culture. Its description in RNAcentral is "bacterial SSU rRNA". It matches the Rfam family "Archaeal small subunit ribosomal RNA", at positions 20 to 859 of the family's 1478-position model. The record is from RNAcentral.
GCGGCUACUGCUAUCAGGUUUCGACUAAGCCAUGCGAGUCAAGGGGUCGUAAGACACCGGCGUACUGCUCAGUAACACGCGGACAAUCUACCCCCAGGUGGAGGAUAACCUCGGGAAACUGAGGCUAAUACCCCAUAGUUGUCAUGUGCUGGAAUGCUUUGACGAUGAAAGAAUUUCGCCUGAGGAUGAGUCUGCGGCCUAUCAGGUAGUAUGUGGUGUAAAGGACCACAUAGCCUAAGACGGGUACGGGCCUUGAAAGAGGGAGCCCGGAGAUGGACUCUGAGACACUAGUCCAGGCCCUACGGGGCGCAGCAGGCGCGAAAACUGUGCAAUGCGCGCAAGCGCGACACGGGAAGCCUGAGUGCCUUAACUAUGUUAAGGCUUUUCUUGAUCCUAAAAAGCUCAAGGAAUAAGAGCUGGGUAAGACGGGUGCCAGCCGCCGCGGUAACACCCGCGGCUCGAGUGGUAGUCACUUUUAUUGAGCCUAAAGCGUUUGUAGCCGGAUUUGUAAAUCUCUAGGAAAAUACUUCUGCUUAACUGAAGAAAUUUUGGAGAGACUGCAAAUCUAGGGACCGGGUGAGGUUGAAUGUACUUCUGGGGUAGGGGUAAAAUCCUGUAAUCCUGGAAGGACGACCGGUGGCGAAGGCGUUCAACUAGAACGGACCCGACGGUGAGGAACGAAGGCUAGGGGAGCAAACCGGAUUAGAUACCCGGGUAGUCCUAGCUGUAAACACUGCCCACUUGGUGUUGCAUCUCCGGUAAGGGGGUGCAGUGCCGUAGCGAAGGUGUUAAGUGGGCCGCUUGGGGAGUAUGGUCGCAAGGCUGAAACUUAA